Populus nigra (black poplar) is the source of this 2164-nucleotide RNA transcript. RefSeq lists it as uncharacterized. The record is from RefSeq and is a predicted model, not a curated record. NCBI's taxonomy places the organism in Eukaryota, Viridiplantae, Streptophyta, Magnoliopsida, Malpighiales, Salicaceae. The transcript has 20 exons.
AACCCUAACUAAACAACGCCCACCCUUCCAUUCUCUCCCCCAAGCAACCGCAUCUCAUCUCAAAUAAAGAACAUUAAAAAAAGCACCCCCCGAGCUCCUAACCCACAGCUAUCAGUCAGCCGCAACCCAGCGAUCUCGACAGCAGCAGCGGCGUCUUUACUCUGCAGAAAUGGCAGAAGCGCCUCUACUUGAUAUUGAGGAGGAGGUUCGCUCAUUGCAGCUUGACUCAGCGGAUUGUGCAUCAGAGAUAAAUGGGGAGAUAAAUGAAGAUGCAAGGCCAGAAGAAGUUGAGAAGGUGGAUGAGAUGGAGAAAGAUUCAGAUCAUAAAGUCACUGUGAGCUCUCAGGAAGUGCAGGCUGAGUUGCCCAAAGUGAAAGAUAAAGAAGUACCUGCACCAGAAGAUGUGGAAGCAGUGGUUGAGAUGGAACAGUACAAUAAGAAGCGACACUUAAAUGUUGUUUUUAUUGGCCAUGUUGAUGCUGGCAAGUCCACCACUGGGGGCCAGAUACUCUUUCUUAGUGGCCAGGUGGAUGAUCGCACAAUCCAGAAAUAUGAGAAAGAAGCUAAGGACAAAAGUAGAGAAAGCUGGUAUAUGGCUUAUAUUAUGGACACUAAUGAGGAAGAGAGGGUUAAGGGCAAAACUGUUGAAGUUGGAAGAGCACACUUUGAAACAGAGACAACAAGAUUCACAAUUUUAGAUGCACCGGGUCACAAGAGCUAUGUUCCAAAUAUGAUUAGCGGAGCAUCUCAGGCUGAUAUAGGCGUGCUAGUUAUUUCUGCUCGGAAAGGAGAAUUUGAAACUGGCUAUGAGAGAGGUGGGCAGACCCGUGAGCAUGUUCAACUUGCAAAGACCUUGGGUGUUUCGAAGCUGCUUGUUGUUGUAAAUAAAAUGGAUGAGCCAACUGUGAACUGGUCAAAAGAAAGGUAUGAUGAGAUUGAAUCAAAGAUGAUACCGUUUCUUAAGUCUUCUGGCUACAAUGUGAAGAAAGAUGUCCAAUUCCUACCAAUAUCUGGUCUAAUGGGCACCAACAUGAAAACAAGAUUGGAUAAGGCUGUAUGUCCAUGGUGGAAUGGCCCAUGCCUUUUUGAAGCUCUUGAUUCUAUUGAAGUUCCUCCACGAGAUCCAAAUGGUCCUUUGAGGAUGCCUAUUAUUGACAAAUUCAAGGACAUGGGAACUGUUGUUAUGGGCAAAGUAGAGUCUGGUAGUGUGAUGGAAGGUGAUACCUUGUUGGUCAUGCCAAACAAGACUCAGGUGAAAGUUCUUGCUGUGUUUUGCGAUGAAAAUAAGGUAAGACGUGCAGGACCAGGAGAAAAUGUGAGGGUUAGAUUAUCUGGAAUUGAUGAUGAGGAUAUAUUGUCGGGUUUUGUUCUUUCAAGUGUUGCAAGGCCAAUCUUUUCAGUUACAGAGUUUGAUGCCCAGUUGCAAAUCCUUGAGUUACUGGAUAACGCAAUUUUUACAGCUGGCUAUAAGGCUGUCUUGCACAUACAUUCUGUUGUUGAGGAGUGUGAGAUUGUUCAGCUGCUGCAGCAAAUUGAUCCAAAGACUAGGAAACCUAUGAAAAAGAAAGUCCUCUUUGUGAAGAAUGGCGCAAUUGUUCUCUGCCGUAUUCAGGUAAACAAUUUGAUAUGCGUUGAGAAAUUCUCAGAUUUUCCACAACUCGGCAGGUUUACUCUUCGUACUGAGGGGAAAACAGUUGCAGUGGGAAAAGUCACAGAACUUCCGUCUGGUUCUAAUUUUUGAACAAUUUUGCAUUAAAGGCAAUCAGAGUCAAAUGGACCACUUUUUGUGUGUUUUGGCAGCCCACCUAUAAAUCAUUACAUGUGUCGAUUCACAUAUAUGGGGGAAGGCGCUUCUUAUGCAGUUUUUGGAGGUUGGAGUUUAGAGCUGAGAACAGACGAAGAUGGCGAGCUUGGGAGUAGAGAAUGGAUUGCUUGGAGCAUACUUAGAAACAUAUAAUGGAUUGUUUGGAUUUUUGUAGAGCAUAGAGGAGAGAAAUGUGCUUGAAGACUUGUCUUGUGGUUGACUUUAUUUUAGAUCUGGUCAAAACACUUAUCCAUGCGAGAGUGAGAUUGGUGAAAGAAAAAUAUCAAAUUUAUUCGAAGAUAAUGCUAUGAAAAAGGGUGCUGAACAAUUUCAGUAUUUUGAUAAAAACAAGCUUCUUUA